UUAUCGUUUAUUUGAUUGUACUUUACUACAUGGAUACCUGUGGUAAUUCUAGAGCUAAUACAUGCGAAAAAUCCCAACUUCUGGAAGGGAUGUAUUUAUUAGAUUAAAAACCAAUGCGUGCUUUCGGGCACGUUUUCUUGGUGAUUCAUGAUAACUUUUCGAAUCGCAUGGCCUAGCGCCGGCGAUAUUUCAUUCAAAUUUCUGCCCUAUCAACUGUCGAUGGUAAGGUAGUGGCUUACCAUGGUUAUAACGGGUGACGGAGAAUUAGGGUUCGAUUCCGGAGAGGGAGCCUGAGAAACGGCUACCACAUCUAAGGAAGGCAGCAGGCUCGAAAAUUACCCAAUCCCGACUCGGGGAGGUAGUGACAAGAAAUAACGAUACGGGGUCUUAAUAGGUCUCGCAAUUGGAAUGAGUACAAUUUAAAUCCUUUAACGAGGAUCAAUUGGAGGGCAAGUCUGGUGCCAGCAGCCGCGGUAAUUCCAGCUCCAAUAGCGUAUAUUAAAGUUGUUGCAGUUAAAAAGCUCGUAGUUGGAUUUCGGAGUGGGCCAGUUGGUCCGCCGCAAGGUGUGUUACUGACUGGUUUGCUCUUCUUCGCAAAGACUGCGUGUGCUCUUUGUUGAGUGUGCGUAGGAUUUACGACGUUUACUUUGAAAAAAUUAGAGUGUUCAAAGCAGGCUAUUGC
Molecule: ribosomal RNA, 682 nt
Filed under: uncultured eukaryote
Lineage: Eukaryota
Description: SSU rRNA
Rfam family: Eukaryotic small subunit ribosomal RNA
Source: RNAcentral